This 433-nucleotide ribosomal RNA is filed under the name uncultured bacterium. RNAcentral describes it as "partial 16S ribosomal RNA". It matches the Rfam family "Bacterial small subunit ribosomal RNA", at positions 29 to 507 of the family's 1533-position model. The record is from RNAcentral.
AACGAACGCUGGCGGCAUGCCUAACACAUGCAAGCCGAACGAGACCUUCGGGUCUAGUGGCGCACGGGUGCGUAACGCGUGGGAACCUGCCCUUAGGUUCGGAAUAACUCCCCGAAAGGGGUGCUAAUACCGGAUAAUGUCUUCGGACCAAAGAUUUAUCGCCUUUGGAUGGGCCCGCGUUGGAUUAGCUAGUUGGUAGGGUAAAAGCCUACCAAGGCGACGAUCCAUAGCUGGUCGGAGAGGAGGAUCAGCCACACUGGGACUGAGACACGGCCCAGACUCCUACGGGAGGCAGCAGUGGGGAAUAUUGGGCAAUGGGCGAAAGCCUGAUCCAGCAAUGCCGCGUGAGUGAUGAAGGCCUUAGGGUUGUAAAGCUCUUUUACCCGAGAUGAUAAUGACAGUACCGGGAGAAUAAGCUCCGGCUAACUCCGUG